GAAACAUCUAAGUACCCCGAGGAAAAGAAAUCAACCGAGAUUCCCCCAGUAGCGGCGAGCGAACGGGGAGGAGCCCAGAGCCUGAAUCAGUGUGUGUGUUAGUGGAAGCGUCUGGAAAGGCGCGCGAUACAGGGUGACAGCCCCGUACACAAAAAUGCACAUGCUGUGAGCUCGAUGAGUAGGGCGGGACACGUGGUAUCCUGUCUGAAUAUGGGGGGACCAUCCUCCAAGGCUAAAUACUCCUGACUGACCGAUAGUGAACCAGUACCGUGAGGGAAAGGCGAAAAGAACCCCGGCGAGGGGAGUGAAAAAGAACCUGAAACCGUGUACGUACAAGCAGUGGGAGCACGCUUAGGCGUGUGACUGCGUACCUUUUGUAUAAUGGGUCAGCGACUUAUAUUCUGUAGCAAGGUUAACCGAAUAGGGGAGCCGAAGGGAAACCGAGUCUUAACUGGGCGUUAAGUUGCAGGGUAUAGACCCGAAACCCGGUGAUCUAGCCAUGGGCAGGUUGAAGGUUGGGUAACACUAACUGGAGGACCGAACCGACUAAUGUUGAAAAAUUAGCGGAUGACUUGUGGCUGGGGGUGAAAGGCCAAUCAAACCGGGAGAUAGCUGGUUCUCCCCGAAAGCUAUUUAGGUAGCGCCUCGUGAAUUCAUCUCCGGGGGUAGAGCACUGUUUCGGCAAGGGGGUCAUCCCGACUUACCAACCCGAUGCAAACUGCGAAUACCGGAGAAUGUUAUCACGGGAGACACACGGCGGGUGCUAACGUCCGUCGUGAAGAGGGAAACAACCCAGACCGCCAGCUAAGGUCCCAAAGUCAUGGUUAAGUGGGAAACGAUGUGGGAAGGCCCAGACAGCCAGGAUGUUGGCUUAGAAGCAGCCAUCAUUUAAAGAAAGCGUAAUAGCUCACUGGUCGAGUCGGCCUGCGCGGAAGAUGUAACGGGGCUAAACCAUGCACCGAAGCUGCGGCAGCGACGCUUAUGCGUUGUUGGGUA
This 996-nucleotide ribosomal RNA is filed under the name Escherichia coli. RNAcentral describes it as "partial 23S ribosomal RNA". It matches the Rfam family "Bacterial large subunit ribosomal RNA", at positions 195 to 1230 of the family's 2925-position model. The record is from RNAcentral. Lineage: Bacteria; Pseudomonadati; Pseudomonadota; Gammaproteobacteria; Enterobacterales; Enterobacteriaceae.